This 433-nucleotide ribosomal RNA is filed under the name uncultured bacterium. Its description in RNAcentral is "partial 16S ribosomal RNA". It matches the Rfam family "Bacterial small subunit ribosomal RNA", at positions 29 to 507 of the family's 1533-position model. The record is from RNAcentral.
AACGAACGCUGGCGGCAUGCCUAACACAUGCAAGUCGAACGAGACCUUCGGGUCUAGUGGCGCACGGGUGCGUAACGCGUGGGAACCUGCCCUUAGGUUCGGAAUACCUCCCCGACAGGGGUGCUAAUACCGGAUAAUGUCUUCGGACCAAAGAUUUAUUGCGUUUGGUUGGGCCCGCGUUGGAUUAGCUCGUUGGUAGGGUAAUAGCCUACCAAGGCGACGAUCCAUAGCUGGUCAGAGAGGCUGAUCAGCCACACUGGGACUGAGACGCGGCCCAGACUCCUACGGGAGGCAGCAGAGGGGAAUAGAGGAAAAUGGGCGAAAGGAUGAUCCAGUAAUGACGGGUGAGUGAUGAAGGCCGGAGGGUUGUAAAGCUCUUGUACCCGGGAUGAUAAUGACAGUACCGGGAGAAUAAGCUCCGGCUAACUCCGUG